UAAUGGUGAGGUGAGGCAAGGGUUACUGAAAAAUAACAGAGCUAAGAGAGGAAUUUACUCAGAUGAGCCUCAGUGAUGCAGGUGGACUCAUAAAGGAAACAGAGAAGUUCAGGUGAGGACACACCUUUCUCAGAGACGCAAACAUGAAGAAAUCAAUCAAACUUAAAACGGCACCAGGAGAAGAUAAAAAAGAUGUUGAGAGUGGG
Long non-coding RNA from Labrus mixtus (cuckoo wrasse), 206 nucleotides. RefSeq lists it as uncharacterized. NCBI's taxonomy places the organism in Eukaryota, Metazoa, Chordata, Actinopteri, Labriformes, Labridae. The record is from RefSeq and is a predicted model, not a curated record. The transcript is spliced from 3 exons.